Molecule: long non-coding RNA, 690 nt
Filed under: Dromaius novaehollandiae (emu)
Lineage: Eukaryota; Metazoa; Chordata; Aves; Casuariiformes; Dromaiidae
Description: lncRNA (ENSDNVG00000012811.1)
Source: RNAcentral
UUUCUGCAAUUGGACAUAUUCAAUUGUGAGGAUGUAGGGGAAUUGAGUUAGAGAUGUCCUCUAUAACCCUGUGAAGAUUAAUGUACACUGCUGAAUCUCUGACUACAGGAGUUCCCACUGGACAACAGGAUGGAAAAGAACAUUAAGCUGGAGUCAUCGAUAUGGGAGAACAAAUCCAUGUUUUGAAGCCUGUGUUUUGUCUGAUACUCUAAGGUGGAUAUGCAGAAGAUCAUUAUGUAUUCUUCACCACAGCCUUCUCAUCUCCUUUGUCUGGCUUCGUCUCCUGCAUGUUUCUAUCAACUGCUAUGUUUCACUAUUCUGCUUUGGAUCUGUGGUUGGAACUACAGGAAAGAAUCAGCAAGUGAUAUGUAAACAGGAUUACAUGAAAAAAAAUCAUCCUCUGAAUACUUGUGGGAACAUAAAGCUGCCUAUGUAAAUGCUAUAUAAAAGAGUUGUAGACAUGACCACAUGGAAGAUUCACUGAGAAUUCAAACAAAUGUCUACCAACACAACCAUGACAAAAUUUGACUGGCUUCCAGCCAAACUGAAGAUGACCAGGAACAUUGGAAGGGACAACACUGUUCCGGUGGAAAUAGCUGAACAGUAGGUAGAAUGAAGCAGAUCAGGAAGAAUAUUGAGAAGCAAAAUAAGUUGCAGCAAAAAGAGAGGAGGAAGAGACAUGGAAAGAUG